Molecule: ribosomal RNA, 337 nt
Filed under: Klebsiella sp.
Lineage: Bacteria; Pseudomonadati; Pseudomonadota; Gammaproteobacteria; Enterobacterales; Enterobacteriaceae
Description: bacterial SSU rRNA
Rfam family: Bacterial small subunit ribosomal RNA
Source: RNAcentral
AAUGUCUGGGAAACUGCCUGAUGGAGGGGGAUAACUACUGGAAACGGUAGCUAAUACCGCAUAAGGUCGCAAGACCAAAGUGGGGGACCUUCGGGCCUCAUGCCAUCAAAUGUGCCCAGAUGGGAUUAGCUAGUAGGUGGGGUAACGGCUCACCUAGGCGACGAUCCCUAGCUGGUCUGAGAGGAUGACCAGCCACACUGGAACUGAGACACGGUCCAGACUCCUACGGGAGGCAGCAGUGGGGAAUAUUGCACAAGGGGCGCAAGCCUGAUGCAGCCAUGCCGCGUGUGUGAAGAAGGCCUUCGGGUUGUAAAGCACUUUCAGCGGGGAGGAAGGC